UAAUAUAAUCGAAUCAAAUCAUUUCUUAUGUUAUAUGACCCGAUAAUUUUUUUUAUUGCUUCACUGUGUUUUCGACGAUAGUUUGUGUAUACCAACACCUCGCACAAGAAUCACCUUUUUGUCCAUAUUAAAUCCAUCAACAGAGAACCAUGGUCAGAGCAAUGAGGAGAGUGAGCAGUUCACAGGUUCAGAGGGUCACUGUUGGUACAAGAUACACCCAGCAAAGAACUACAACACAGACGAUAAGACGCAGAACAACAAGACCCCGUGGUGGAAAUAAUUUGAGGAAUACAAUAGCAAUUACUUUUGGUUUGACAAGGAGUACUCGCAGGAGAUAUCUCUUAUAAGUGCAACUUGGUUGCAUAGACAGCUAAUCCGAUGAAUGCCGGUGAGAAGAAUGUAUGACCGGACAAUCUUUAGCUUUUUUGGAAACCGUGUAAUUCAUAUAAUGAUGUACUGAUUUUAUAAUUUUUAAUAAAAUUAGAUGAAUACAUA
This is a long non-coding RNA of Magallana angulata, 495 nucleotides long. RefSeq lists it as uncharacterized. The transcript is spliced from 3 exons. NCBI's taxonomy places the organism in Eukaryota, Metazoa, Mollusca, Bivalvia, Ostreida, Ostreidae. The record is from RefSeq and is a predicted model, not a curated record.